UUAAGUUCAGCGGGUAAUCCUACCUGAUUUGAGGUCAAAUGGUUCAAAUUGUCCAGUAUUCCUAGACUGUUCGAAGGCAGCUACACUUAACAUCCCCACCUACAAGGCGUAGAUAAUUAUCACACCAAAGUGGGGAACAGUAACCACUAAUGCUUUUAAGAGAAGCAAACUACGAGAGCCUGCAAUCUCCACAUCCAAAA
RNAcentral lists this unclassified non-coding RNA (200 nucleotides) under Tricholomataceae sp. RNAcentral describes it as "partial internal transcribed spacer 2". The record is from RNAcentral. Lineage: Eukaryota; Fungi; Basidiomycota; Agaricomycetes; Agaricales; Tricholomataceae.